Molecule: ribosomal RNA, 253 nt
Filed under: uncultured bacterium
Lineage: Bacteria
Description: partial 16S ribosomal RNA
Rfam family: Bacterial small subunit ribosomal RNA
Source: RNAcentral
UACGUAGGGGGCAAGCGUUGUCCGGAAUCAUUGGGCGUAAAGCGCGUGUAGGCGGCCCGAUAAGUCCGCUGUGAAAGUCGAGGGCUCAACCCUCGGAUGCCGGUGGAUACUGUCGGGCUAGAGUGCGGGAGAGGCGAGUGGAAUUCCUGGUGUAGCGGUGAAAUGCGCAGAUAUCAGGAGGAACACCGGUGGCGAAGGCGGGUCUCUGGGCCGAUACUGACGCUGAGGAGCGAAAGCGUGGGGAGCGAACAGG